AAAAAUAUAAUUUAUGUGAUUAUUUAUAUGAUUGUACGUAUAAAAUAUUAUUAAUUAUAAGAAAACUUAUUUGAUGGUACGUAUAAAAUAUGAUUAAUUAUAUGAUAACACAUAUUUUGUAACCUAUGAUGACACAUAUAUGAUAUAUAUAUAAUAGUGAUUAGGGGUGGGCGUUCGGGUUCGUUUUCGGGUAUUUUUGGGAUUUCGUGUUCAUUUCAGAUCUUUGAGGAUUUGGUUCGGAUUUGGAUAAUCAAUUUAAAUAGGUUUGGUUUAAAUAUUUGGUAGAGAAUUAAUAAUUUUUUAAGUAUUUUUGGAGUUUUGAGUAUAUUUUAACUAUUUAAGAUAUUUACGUUUGAUUAUUUGUAUAUAUUUUCAAGCAUUUAAGCAAACUUAAAAGUAUCAUAUAUAUUUUGGAUGUUU
This 420-nucleotide long non-coding RNA is filed under the name Brassica napus (rape). RNAcentral's name for it is "long non-coding RNA (BNAP_LNC007838)". The record is from RNAcentral. Lineage: Eukaryota; Viridiplantae; Streptophyta; Magnoliopsida; Brassicales; Brassicaceae.